RNAcentral lists this ribosomal RNA (1080 nucleotides) under Triticum aestivum (bread wheat). RNAcentral's name for it is "partial small subunit ribosomal RNA". The record is from RNAcentral. Lineage: Eukaryota; Viridiplantae; Streptophyta; Magnoliopsida; Poales; Poaceae.
AUGGAUUCAGAGCUCUCGAUAGCGUUCUUCUUGUUGAUAGUUUUUGCAGCGUGUUGUUGCUCUUCUUCGGGUACCCACCAUGACCCCUCGGUCGUUGGGUACUCGCAGGAGGACAUCGCGCUGCCGAGCGGGAUUCAUGAUCUCUUCAGCUCGUGGUCGGUGAAGCACAGCAAGGUCUACGUGACCCCGAAGGAGAAGGUGCGGAGGUACGAGGUGUUCCGGCAGAACCUGAAGCACAUCGUGGAGACCAACAGGAGGAACGGGAGCUACUGGCUGGGCCUGAACCAGUUCGCCGACGUCGCCCACGACGAGUUCAAGGCCGGCUACCUUGGGCUGAGCACCGGCGGGCGGCCGCACGCUCCGACGACGGCGUUCCGGUACGAGGCCGCCGUGGACCUGCCCUGGGAGGUGGACUGGAGGAAGAAGGGGGCCGUGACGCCGGUCAAGAACCAGGGAAAAUGCGGAAGCUGCUGGGCCUUCUCGACUGUGGCGGCGGUGGAAGGGAUAAACCAGAUCGUGACGGGCAGGCUGGAGUCGCUGUCGGAGCAGGAGCUGAUGGACUGCGACAGCACCUUCGAUCACGGCUGCGGAGGGGGCCUCAUGGACUUCGCCUACGCCUACAUAGUGGGCAACCAGGGGAUCCACACCGACGGCGACUACCCCUACCUCAUGGAGGAGGGCGACUGCAAGGAGAAGCAGCCCCACUCCAAGGUCGUCACCAUCAGCGGCUACGAGGACGUGCCGGAGAACAGCGAGGUGAGCCUGCUGAAGGCGCUGGCGCACCAGCCCGUCAGCGUGGGCAUCGCUGUGGGGAGCAGAGACUUCCAGUUCUACAAAGGGGGGGUGUUUGAAGGAACGUGUGGCACUCAGCUGGACCAUGCGCUGACGGCCGUCGGAUACGGCUCAUCCAACGGCCAGGACUACAUCAUCAUGAAGAACUCGUGGGGCGGGGGCUGGGGCGAGCAAGGGUAUAUCAGGAUCAAGAGGGGCACUGGGAGGCCCGAGGGCGUCUGCGACAUCUACAAGAUUGCCUCUUACCCUAUCAAGAACAACAGAACGGGUUGGGGGUGGGGGGCCUGA